GACGAACGCGGCGGCGUGCCUUAAUACAUGCAAGUAGAACGUUGAAGGAGGAGCUUGCUUCUCUGGAUGAGUUGCGAACGGGUGAGUAACGCGUAGGUAACCUGCCUGGUAGCGGGGGAUAACUAUUGGAAACGAUAGCUAAUACCGCAUAAGAGUAGAUGUUGCAUGACAUUUGCUUAAAAGGUGCAAUUGCAUCACUACCAGAUGGACCUGCGUUGUAUUAGCUAGUUGGUGGGGUAACGGCUCACCAAGGCGACGAUACAUAGCCGACCUGAGAGGGUGAUCGGCCACACUGGGACUGAGACACGGCCCAGACUCCUACGGGAGGCAGCAGUAGGGAAUCUUCGGCAAUGGGCGGAAGUCUGACCGAGCAACGCCGCGUGAGUGAAGAAGGUUUUCGGAUCGUAAAGCUCUGUUGUAAGAGAAGAACGAGUGUGAGAGUGGAAAGUUCACACUGUGACGGUAUCUUACCAGAAAGGGACGGCUAACUACGUGCCAGCAGCCGCGGUAAUACGUAGGUGGCAAGCGUUAUCCGGAUUUAUUGGGCGUAAAGAGAGUGCAGGCGGUUUUCUAAGUCUGAUGUGAAAGCCUUCGGCUUAACCGGAGAAGUGCAUCGGAAACUGGAUAACUUGAGUGCAGAAGAGGGUAGUGGAACUCCAUGUGUAGCGGUGGAAUGCGUAGAUAUAUGGAAGAACACCAGUGGCGAAGGCGGCUACCUGGUCUGCAACUGACGCUGAGACUCGAAAGCAUGGGUAGCGAACAGG
This 764-nucleotide ribosomal RNA is filed under the name uncultured Streptococcus sp. RNAcentral describes it as "bacterial SSU rRNA". It matches the Rfam family "Bacterial small subunit ribosomal RNA", at positions 28 to 776 of the family's 1533-position model. Lineage: Bacteria; Bacillati; Bacillota; Bacilli; Lactobacillales; Streptococcaceae. The record is from RNAcentral.